This 192-nucleotide long non-coding RNA is filed under the name Dasypus novemcinctus (nine-banded armadillo). RNAcentral describes it as "lncRNA (ENSDNOG00000052538.1)". The record is from RNAcentral. Lineage: Eukaryota; Metazoa; Chordata; Mammalia; Cingulata; Dasypodidae.
ACUUCCGCUAUAGGGGGCAGCUGGGCUGGGUGCGAGGGCGGGGAGUGCAGGAAGGGUGAAGGGAUGCUUUGGAUCCUGCAGCCUUAGGUCGCGGUUUGGAAGGUCUCCCCCCUGUGAUUCAAGCUUCAGAGGCACCAGAAUCAGCACAAUGGUGAGUACAGAAAAGCCGCCCCUUUCCAAGUCAAAGAGACG